RNAcentral lists this ribosomal RNA (449 nucleotides) under uncultured bacterium. RNAcentral describes it as "bacterial SSU rRNA". It matches the Rfam family "Bacterial small subunit ribosomal RNA", at positions 29 to 524 of the family's 1533-position model. The record is from RNAcentral.
AACGAACGCUGGCGGCAUGCCUAACACAUGCAAGUCGAACGAAGCCUUCGGGCUUAGUGGCGCACGGGUGCGUAACACGUGGGAAUCUGCCCUUCGGUUCGGAAUAACAGUUAGAAAUGACUGCUAAUACCGGAUGAUGACGUAAGUCCAAAGAUUUAUCGCCGAAGGAUGAGCCCGCGUAGGAUUAGGUAGUUGGUAGGGUAAUGGCCUACCAAGCCGACGAUCCUUAGCUGGUCUGAGAGGAUGAUCAGCCACACUGGGACUGAGACACGGCCCAGACUCCUACGGGAGGCAGCAGUGAGGAAUAUUGGACAAUGGGCGAAAGCCUGAUCCAGCAAUGCCGCGUGAGUGAUGAAGGCCUAGGGUUGUAAAGCUCUUUACCAGGGAUGAUAAUGACAGUACCUGGAGAAUAAGACUCCGGCUAACUCCGUGCCAGCAGCCGCGGUAAU